ACCAAAACCUGAUUAAUACGAAAUAGCUUUUGUUUUAUUCACAUUAGAAAAGUUAUCUGUAAUUUGUUAAUUUUUACAUGAAUACUUGUACUGUUGCUUUAAGAAAGCGCUCUGUAACGAUGUCAGCGGUGCUUCAUGCUCAGUUGGCGCUAGGCUGCCUAAGAGGAGGUAGGAAACUUUUACUGCUUGUAGUUUUAUAAAAAUGUUCUAUGAAAACAUGUAAAUGUAAUUACAUGCAGUUGUUAAACGUUGCCUUUACUGAAAAACACUCAGAUGACAUAUUUGUUUCUCAAUAUGUGUCUGUAUUUAUUGGUCAGAGCAAGUAUUUUCCUGCUACAGCUACGGGGUUUCCCCAUGUGCUCUUCUCAAACAGGGGAUGCUGACCUGUGUAUGUGUUGAAGCUGCAUGUUACUGAGCGUUUUGUUUCUGUCUGUGCAGGUAUGUACAUCUAGUUCUUAGCAUCAUUGUUUAAGCUGGUUGCAUUAAUAAUAUAUGUUGGAUUUAAUUAAUUAUUAUAACAGAUUUAUUGUUUUCUGUAAGAAUUGUUACUUUUUUCCAUGUUUAAUGUUUUAUUAUUUUUCUUGGUAGUAAAGAUUAUUUUUGAUUGAAUUGUUUUGCAUUGCUCUGCUGCAGUUGGCGCUAGGCUGCCUAAGAGGAGGGGAUGCUGACCUGUGUAUGUGUUGAAGCUGCAUGUUACUGAGCGUUUUGUUUCUGUCUGUGCAGAAUCCGGCUGGAUAACUGUAUUAAAGAGCAACUGGCUAUACCUAUGGUCUGGGUCCCUCCUUCAUCAGAACACAACGCAGAGCAUAAGCAAGUUAAUCGGUGUCAUAAUUGAGGAGUGUUAGGACACAGGCAGAUGAGACCGGUUACAAUGGUGCCGUGACUUUUUUUUUGGAUCUGUUGAGGAACGACGUCAUCUCGUCCGCCGUGGGAAGCUACAAGGGAUGCUGACCUGUGUAUGUGUUGAAGCUGCAUGUUACUGAGCGUUUUGUUUCUGUCUGUGCAGAAUCCGGCUGGAUAACUGUAUUAAAGAGCAACUGGCUAUA
Molecule: long non-coding RNA, 1046 nt
Organism: Cyprinodon tularosa
Lineage: Eukaryota; Metazoa; Chordata; Actinopteri; Cyprinodontiformes; Cyprinodontidae
Exons: 2
Source: RefSeq, a predicted model, not a curated record